UGUAAAAUUUCAAAGGUCGAACAGACCUAAUGUUUUAGCUUCUACACCAAAAAUUUAUUUUAAUCCAACAUCGAGGUCGCAAUCUUUUCUUUUAAUAUGAACUUUCUAAAAAAAUUACGCUGUUAUCCCUAAGGUAAUUUUAUCUUAUAAUCAAAAAUUUUGGAUCAUCUACUCAUAAAUUUAUGAUUUUAAAUAAAAAAAGUUAAUUAAAUUUUUCAAUCACCCCAACAAAAUUAUUCUAUAAAAAUAUAAAUUUAAUUCUUAAAUCAUAAUUUUAUAAAAUAAUUAAACUCUAUAGGGUCUUCUCGUCUUUUAAUUAUAAUUAAGCUUUUUAACUUAAAAAUAAAUUUCUAUAAAAAUUUAAUAGAGACAGCUAUUUUCUUAUUCAACCCUUCAUUCCAGUUUUCAAUUAAAAAACUAAUGAUUAUGCUACCUUAGCACGGUCAAUAUACCACGGCCAUUUAAAAUCUCAGUGGGCAGGUCAGACCUUAAAUUAUAAACAAAAGGAC
This 509-nucleotide ribosomal RNA is filed under the name Cyrtonus rotundatus. RNAcentral describes it as "partial 16S ribosomal RNA". The record is from RNAcentral. Lineage: Eukaryota; Metazoa; Arthropoda; Insecta; Coleoptera; Chrysomelidae.